GUGGGGAAUCUUGCGCAAUGGGCGAAAGCCUGACGCAGCCAUGCCGCGUGAAUGAUGAAGGUCUUAGGAUUGUAAAAUUCUUUCACCGGGGACGAUAAUGACGGUACCCGGAGAAGAAGCCCCGGCUAACUUCGUGCCAGCAGCCGCGGUAAUACGAAGGGGGCUAGCGUUGCUCGGAAUUACUGGGCGUACAGGGCGCGUAGGCGGACAGUUUAGUCAGAGGUGAAAGCCCAGGGCUCAACCUUGGAAUUGCCUUUGAUACUGGCUGUCUUGAGUACGGGAGAGGUGAGUGGAACUCCGAGUGUAGAGGUGAAAUUCGUAGAUAUUCGGAAGAACACCAGUGGCGAAGGCGACUCACUGGCCCGUUACUGACGCUGAGGCGCGAAAGCGUGGGGAGCAAACAGGAUUAGAAACCCCUGUAGUCC
RNAcentral lists this ribosomal RNA (425 nucleotides) under uncultured bacterium. RNAcentral describes it as "partial 16S ribosomal RNA". It matches the Rfam family "Bacterial small subunit ribosomal RNA", at positions 354 to 796 of the family's 1533-position model. The record is from RNAcentral.